CUUUGAUAUUUCAGGGAUCUACAUAACAACAAGUUGACUGGUCCAAUCCCUCCACAAAUUGGACGACUGAAACGGCUGAAAGUACUG
This 87-nucleotide small RNA is filed under the name Arabidopsis thaliana (thale cress). RNAcentral's name for it is "ATSL303790". Lineage: Eukaryota; Viridiplantae; Streptophyta; Magnoliopsida; Brassicales; Brassicaceae. The record is from RNAcentral.